Caenorhabditis elegans is the source of this 21-nucleotide non-coding RNA. The record is from Ensembl. Lineage: Eukaryota; Metazoa; Nematoda; Chromadorea; Rhabditida; Rhabditidae.
UUUUUUCCUUUUGUCACAAAU